GCAGUUUAUUGUGCAGCAAACACCCACAUCCUGAACUCUCUCUGAUCUCUGCUACGUCAGCUGAGCGCUAAUUAACACAGUGUAGGAAUCCAUGGCUACAUGAGAGAGAAGCAGCAGGCAGGAUAACAUACAGGGACACAAGCAACUGAGUAUGUUUCAGAGCUAUUGCUUUUCCUAGGAGGUUACCCUGAGGUCCAAGCCCCAGGGUGGGGACAGACCAUCUUUACUUAUUCCUCCUCCUCCCAAAAUAGUGCCUGUAAGCAGCAGGAUAGCCAUGGUUAAGAGCGUACUGUUCACACAGGUGGAAGUCCUCACAGAUCUCCCUCUGACGUUCCUGAGGUGCCUUAUUACGUUCCCUGAUCCUCUCCUGAAGAACAGCUCUUAGUCCCGUGUCAUCUCGUAUGAAGCCAUUGGCCCUUUGCCUGUUGAGGAAGGGGUUGAGAUACUCAUGGGAUUCCAUGCUCUCGUGGGACUCAUAGCAAGUAGCGGCCAUGACCAAGACGGCCAGGAGCACAAGGACGAUGAGAGCACGCAUUGUGCAAAGACUCUCUCACUCUGUCUCUUGCUGUGCCUCACUCUCUUCCCACUGAAGGCAGACAGAAA
Molecule: long non-coding RNA, 603 nt
Filed under: Gallus gallus (chicken)
Lineage: Eukaryota; Metazoa; Chordata; Aves; Galliformes; Phasianidae
Source: RNAcentral